CAGGACUGCAUAGUGGAAAGGAUGGGAAGCGUUCAAAUAGCUUACUGCUGCUUUAGAGCAUGUUUGGUGAGGUCAUCAUGAGGAAAUGACUAAGAAAUUUAUGAAAUGCUGAUGUCAAAGAGUCAGAAUUCAACAAAGCAAGAAGAAACAGGCUGAAGAGCAACUACCUAAAUACAUGCAAUAACAUGGAGAGUGGGAAGCGGAACUGAGAGAACAAUAAAUGAAGAAACAAUGAAAAGGUCAAGCACUUAUUCAGAAUUCCUCAUGAAUACCACUGAAGGAAAUCUUGCUUAUAGUGGAAAAACCCAAACAUGAGAUGCAAGUACUACAUCAAAACAGAACAAAGCCCCAUUUUUGUGUCUGUCUUCAGGAGAAUGCACUGAAUUAAAAAAAAAAGGUACAUUUUGUGCAAAUGACGUU
RNAcentral lists this long non-coding RNA (420 nucleotides) under Cyanistes caeruleus (blue tit). RNAcentral describes it as "lncRNA (ENSCCEG00000002944.1)". The record is from RNAcentral. Lineage: Eukaryota; Metazoa; Chordata; Aves; Passeriformes; Paridae.